AGCAGCCGCGGUAAUUCCAGCUCCAAUAGCGUAUAUUAAAGUUGUUGCAGUUAAAAAGCUCGUAGUUGAAUUUCAGGCCUGGCUGGACGGUCCGCCCUUCGGGUGAGUACUGUCUGUGGUCAGGUCCUACCUUCUGGCGAAGCGUCAUGGCCUUAACCGGCCGUGGCGGGGAACCAGGACUUUUACUGUGAAAAAUUAGAGUGUUCAAAGCAGGCAAUCGCUUGGAUACAUUAGCAUGGAAUAAUGGAAUAGGACAAUGGUUCUAUUUGUUGGUUUCUAGGACCGUUGUAAUGAUUAAUAGGGAUAGUUGGGGGCAUUAGUAUUCAAUUGUCAGAGGUGAAAUUCUUGGAUUUAUUGAAGACUAACUACUGCGAAAGCAUUUGCCAAGGAUGUUUUCAUUAAUCAAGAACGAAAGUUAGGGGAUCGAAGACGAUCAGAUACCAUCGUAGUCUUAACCAUAAACUAUGCCGACUAGGAAUCGGGCGA
This 486-nucleotide ribosomal RNA is filed under the name uncultured Paraglomus. RNAcentral's name for it is "SSU rRNA". It matches the Rfam family "Eukaryotic small subunit ribosomal RNA", at positions 569 to 1060 of the family's 1831-position model. The record is from RNAcentral. Lineage: Eukaryota; Fungi; Glomeromycota; Glomeromycetes; Paraglomerales; Paraglomeraceae.